GAUUCGCCCGCCGCGCGCGGCGGGCGGGGCGGGGGCACGGGGGGACUCCUACGGGAGGCAGCAGUGAGGAAUAUUGGACAAUGGGUUAGCGCCUGAUCCAGCCAUCCCGCGUGAAGGACGACGGCCCUAUGGGUUGUAAACUUCUUUUGUAUAGGGAUAAACCUACUCUCGUGAGAGUAGCUGAAGGUACUAUACGAAUAAGCACCGGCUAACUCCGUGCCAGCAGCCGCGGUAAUAAU
RNAcentral lists this ribosomal RNA (239 nucleotides) under uncultured Chryseobacterium sp. RNAcentral's name for it is "partial 16S ribosomal RNA". It matches the Rfam family "Bacterial small subunit ribosomal RNA", at positions 281 to 526 of the family's 1533-position model. The record is from RNAcentral. Lineage: Bacteria; Pseudomonadati; Bacteroidota; Flavobacteriia; Flavobacteriales; Weeksellaceae.